GGCUCGUUGGUCUAGGGGUAUGAUUCUCUCUUUGGGUGCGAGAGGUCCCGGAUUCAAAUCCCGGACGAGCCC
This 72-nucleotide transfer RNA is filed under the name Blattella germanica (German cockroach). Its description in RNAcentral is "tRNA-Pro (TGG) (tRNA-Pro-TGG-20-1)". It matches the Rfam family "tRNA". Rfam says of the family: Transfer RNA (tRNA) molecules are approximately 80 nucleotides in length. Their secondary structure includes four short double-helical elements and three loops (D, anti-codon, and T loops). Lineage: Eukaryota; Metazoa; Arthropoda; Insecta; Blattodea; Blattellidae. The record is from RNAcentral.